This 441-nucleotide ribosomal RNA is filed under the name uncultured bacterium. RNAcentral describes it as "bacterial SSU rRNA". It matches the Rfam family "Bacterial small subunit ribosomal RNA", at positions 29 to 506 of the family's 1533-position model. The record is from RNAcentral.
AUGAACGCUGGCGGCACCGAUAAGUCAUGCAAGUCAUGCGGGCUCGUAGCAAUACGAGUACCGCGGCGAACGAGUUAGUAACACAUUGGUAUCUACCUUUUAGUCGGGCAUAACUAGUCGAAAGAUUAGCUAAUUCCCGAUAGUCUCGUAAGAGUAAAGACGCGAGUCGCUAAGAGAGGAGCCUAUGUCCUAUCAGCUUGUUGGCGGGGUAACGGCCCACCAAGGCUAUGACGGGUAGGGGGUGUGAGAGCACGACCCUCAACGACGAAACUGAGAUACGGUUCGUACACCUACGGGUGGCAGCAGACGAGAAUAUUCGACAAUGGGCGAAAGCCUGAUCGAGGGAUGCCGCGUGCAGGAAGAAGGGCUUCGGCCUGUAAACUGCUUUUGUAUGGGAAGAACUUUGACGGUACCAUAAGAAUAAGGGGUUGCUAACCUCGU